This 248-nucleotide unclassified non-coding RNA is filed under the name uncultured fungus. RNAcentral describes it as "partial contains 5.8S ribosomal RNA, internal transcribed spacer 2, and large subunit ribosomal RNA". The record is from RNAcentral. Lineage: Eukaryota; Fungi.
AACGCACAUUGCGCCCAUUAGUAUUCUAGUGGGCAUGCCUGUUCGAGCGUCAUUUCAACCCUUAAGCCUAGCUUAGUGUUGGGAAUCUGCUGUAUGGCAGUUCCUCAAAUACAACGGCGGAUCUGUAACAUCCUCUGAGCGUAGUAAAUUUUUAUCUCGCUUUUGUUAGGUGUUGCAGCUCUCAGCCGCUAAACCCCCCAAUUUUUGUGGUUGACCUCGGAUCAGGUAGGAAUACCCGCUGAACUUAA